This 484-nucleotide ribosomal RNA is filed under the name uncultured bacterium. RNAcentral describes it as "partial 16S ribosomal RNA". It matches the Rfam family "Bacterial small subunit ribosomal RNA", at positions 29 to 507 of the family's 1533-position model. The record is from RNAcentral.
AUUGAACGCUGGCGGAAUGCUUUACACAUGCAAGUCGAACGGCAGCACGGGGGCAGCCCUGGUGGCGAGUGGCGAACGGGUGAGUAAUACAUCGGAACGUGCCCGGUCGUGGGGGAUAACGUAGCGAAAGUUACGCUAAUACCGCAUACGAUCUGAGGAUGAAAGCGGGGGACCUUCGGGCCUCGCGCGAUCGGAGCGGCCGAUGUCAGAUUAGGUAGUUGGUGGGGUAAAGGCCUACCAAGCCGACGAUCUGUAGCUGGUCUGAGAGGACGACCAGCCACACUGGGACUGAGACACGGCCCAGACUCCUACGGGAGGCAGCAGUGGGGAAUUUUGGACAAUGGGCGCAAGCCUGAUCCAGCCAUUCCGCGUGCAGGACGAAGGCCUUCGGGUUGUAAACUGCUUUUGUACGGAACGAAAAGGCUCUGGCUAAUACCGGGGGCUCAUGACGGUACCGUAAGAAUAAGCACCGGCUAACUACGUG